UCUUCUGUGUCUGGUGACAGCCCCACAGUGUGUCCUGUCCCAGGUGCACCUGCAGGAGUCAGGCCCAGAACUGGUAAAGCCCUCACAGACCCUCUCCCUCACCUGCACUGUCUCUGGUUACUCCAUCACCAGUGGUUACUGCUGGGCUGGAUCCACCAGUACCCCCAGGGAAGGGACUAGAGUGGA
This is a long non-coding RNA of Phyllostomus discolor (pale spear-nosed bat), 186 nucleotides long. RefSeq lists it as uncharacterized. The transcript has 3 exons. The record is from RefSeq and is a predicted model, not a curated record. NCBI's taxonomy places the organism in Eukaryota, Metazoa, Chordata, Mammalia, Chiroptera, Phyllostomidae.